This is a long non-coding RNA of Oncorhynchus masou masou (cherry salmon), 3289 nucleotides long. RefSeq lists it as uncharacterized. The transcript is spliced from 2 exons. NCBI's taxonomy places the organism in Eukaryota, Metazoa, Chordata, Actinopteri, Salmoniformes, Salmonidae. The record is from RefSeq and is a predicted model, not a curated record.
GAAGGAGGGAGGGAAAGGGAGGGAAGUAAGGAGAGCAGCACUGCUUCCAGACUCUCACAUGGAUAGCGGAUCUCUUGGGACGAACAGUUAAACGUUUUUUUCUCACUAUCCUUUUCUAUAUCUUUCUCUCUCUCUCUUUUACUCUCGCUUUCUCUUACUUUCUUUUACUCUCUCUCUCUCUCUCUCUCUCUCUCUCUCUCUCUCUCUCUCUUGUUACUCUUCUGUAAGUGGACGAACUGUUGCUGUGCAUCUCCAGAGUGAUUCAUCAGGUUAAAAGAAACUACGGUAGCAGCCAGUCAGCAGCCAGCGGGUUGUGUUAACUAGCUCCAAGUCUGACCUCUCCUCUCCUCUCCACUGCUGUCCUCUACUCUAUGGGAAACCGAACAGACCAGGACAGGACAACCCUUCUCUCCCUCAUCUCCUCUCCCCCUUUUAUGUCCCCAAAAGAGAUUUCGGCACAGGACAAAGUUGCUGCUGCUGCUGGAUCUGAAAUGGAACAUUCCUUAGAGCAGUCUUCCGAGAAAGAACUCCUCCACUGACUGCUCCACUCCUCCAUAUCCUCAGCUGAACUCGGCUCUCACGCAGCACUACUGGAUCUGUGGGCAUGGGUUGGUCUGACUUGGGAGCAGCCAGAGGACAGCCAGAGGACACUCCAGAUGUCUGGGGAGACAUCUGGAGGCCCCGCCGCUGCGGGCCAGGGACGGGCACCCGGUUACGCUCGCUACCAGUCUGGCUGUGGUGGGGAGGGUUCCUGGCACAGUGAUUUGGUGCACAAAUAUAAACGAAAAUCACAUUGCCAGGGAUUUCCACCCUUACACAGGCAGCUCUCCAGGUGACCCAGGUGGCAUCGGUAUGUUCUGCCCGUCAGGGUACGUCGUUUCUGUUUCCCGAUCUUGGCCCUCUAUGGUCUAUGGAAACAAGAUCAUGUAAAAUAAUACUCAACUCCAGAUAAAAGCUGUUUUCAGCUCUCACACAGGGAUUUACAGAUUACUUCCUGGUAUUAGCUCCUUACAAACGGGAACUGUGGGAAACUGAGCCUACUUUGGCAGCCUUUGCUUAUAGACAUAAGGAGUGGAUAGAUCCAAAGUGCAAAGAGUGUUUUACCUUCUAUAGAAGUCUACAAAGUACUUCCAGCCUUAGAGGAAUCAAUCAACGUUCCUCCAGACUGCCAGUGAAAGUCUAUUUUCCUCAUGUGCAUCCUGUAGUGAGCAGCCACUUGCUAAAGGCACAGAGCUUAGCUAAUUGGUGAGCAUUGAUCCCUCUUAUGUGUUGUUCACAGUGGCUAAGUUCAGUGCCUGCGGUGAAAUAGUUGAUGCAGCAGGAUGUGCUCCAAACGAUGGCGAUGGACGAGUACUGGCUGAGUUCUGAGAUGUGAAGACGAAGGAAGAAGGUGGGAAGAGAGGGAGAGAUAAUGAUGGAGGAGUGAGGUGUUGCGUGGGCAUGGAGACAGAGGCAACAGCGGGAUACAGCACGAUCCCCGUAAAGAGCAGAGGAAAGAAGGCUGCUGGGGGAAUGUCAGGCCAGCCCUGGCAUGCCCAGUUCCACACUCCAUCUCAGUCAGUCAGUCAGGGCACAGCGCCUGGCUUUGGCACUCAGCACUGGCACUGAUUUAUGUGGCAGAGGAUGGGACACAGCUCACCUCACCUCCUCCCCAGAGCUGAGCUGGUGUGUGGGCUAGGCUGCCCUCUUGUCACACUCUGAGCUGAUGUGUGGGCUAGGCUGCCCUCAUCACACUAAGAGCUGGUGUGUGGGCUAGGCUGCCCUCUUGUCACACUCUGAGCUGUGGGGGCUUGGUACUUGGUAUAGAACCAUACCAAGCUACCAUGCAACUCUGAGGCCACAUUACGAGUGUGUGGAAUUCACUUUAUGAGUUGACAUACAUGCAAAACAUCUUGUGGGACAGUGGUCAACCCAUUUACGUGAGGCACAUUUGUUUUUGUAGUUAUCUCUGUCCCCUUGUCCAUUGGUCAGUUGGUUAAUUGUGGAUCAUUAUUAUAGAGUUCUUAUGGCCUAUUGUAAUGUUGUUUUGUCAAGAGGUUUCGACCUCUUGUGGUAACUGCUUAGUAAGGCCUUAAAUUGAAAGUUUCUCAGGGUUACCCAUCAAAUUGGCUACAAUAUGUUCUGUGGUUUCCAUUCGGUCUCAAUGUAGAGUGGUAGAGUGUUUCUAAAGGGAUGGACGUGGAGGGUUAAAAUACUCUAUGGUUGGGGCUGUGCCCUCCUGUGCCUACUGAACUGGUAUCAGUUUGAACUCUGAGUACUGGCUCAGUUCAGCAGGAACAGGAGUGGAGCCCACUGUGUGCCAUUACGCCCUCCAAUCAGCAUGCAGAAAGACAUCCAGUACCCCAUUAGCCCUGCCCACCAGACCCCCAAGGGCUUGUGCCAUUGGCCUUGAUGAAACCCAACAUUCCUGUCAGCAUUAAACCCUGAGACAUCAGACAGAGGCAUUGCAGCCUGUGAGAGUUGAAUGUCCCUGCUUCAAGUAUGAAUGUUUCAUAACCAGAUUUAUCAUUAGGAACUGGCAGGCAGCAUGGAGAAGAUACAUUGAAUUUGCUGCAUACUGAUGCAGUUAUUCUCCUCGGACUUCAUGUUUAUUUCAGUACGGCUUUUUUCCCCUUGACAAUGCCGCAACCAAGCACACACGCACCUUCUAUCUCUCUGAGCCGUCAAACGGAGAAACUGAAGUACAUUGUGCGGUAAUCCAAGUGAAAUGUCUGCUAUGUCCAUGUAAUUGACGUUACCUAGAGAGCCUCAUUUUCAGCUGAUUGGGAAUGUCUGCUAUUUUACUUUAUGCUCCCCUGCCACAGAGAUAAUGUAGCACGUUAUAAAUCAGGACUUUGGAAACAUUCUUUAUCUCAAGAUUUUUCACUCGUAGGAUAAAAGAGGUUCAUUAACCACACAAUAAAUCUCAGCUCAUCCAAUGGGCCGUGGAUUGUAGACGGCAUUUGCCGCCUCUUGGCAUUUUUAACCUUGAAGAGAUUACCUGAAUGAAACCUAGUUUUGUAAUAUGACAAGACUGGUGGAUUCUUGUCCUCAGGGCAUUGGUCCAAAUUCAUAUCUUUUUUUUUGUAUCUAUUAGGGGUAAAACUAGCCUAAUCCACCAGACAGGGGAUUAACAUCAAGCUACUACUUAAAAUGUCGCAUUUGUGGUUCCUUAACUCUGAGGCAUGCUGCUCUUCCUUUGUUGUCACAGGUGUCUCUUUCAUGCUGUUCUGUGAGUCAUCACUUUUGCUGUAAAUCUCAUGUAAUCCUACCACAAAAUCCAUUAAUAAAAAAGUAUUACUUCAUACAA